AGCUGAUCCAAUCAUUGCACACUGGACAGGACCCACAUGUGACUCAUCAGUCAGGAAAAAUUCCAAUUUGAAGAGGGAGCAACUGAAGAAAACAGAAAGAUUUCCAUGACACGAGUUGUGCAUAUUUACACCUGGAACCAAUGUCCUACCUGUCCAGAGAACCACUUCAAGAAACAACUUCCACAGCGACUUGAGUCACGUGUCUGUGCUUCGAUGUAUUUGAGACAAACAUCCUUGACUUUGAUGGCACUCACCAUCUCAAGACACAAACAGAAAGCCAUGACCAGCCUCAAGUGACACAGUAAAGGCAAAAAAUGAAAACGUGGAAUGAAAUGUAGAAAAGAUGAGGAAGUAAUACCAGACACAAUGAGCAGCCAGUUUGAAAAGAAGAUAAUAGGUUAUUUAUCACCAAAUUCAAGUGUCUCCAUUUUUAUAAAUUGCAAGCAGAAAGCCUUGCUCUGCAACUGGGCUGUAGCCAUGGAAACCCACUAUCUGUAUCCUAUGGAAAGAGAUUAUUCUUUCAUUUUUGCCUUCAGUUAAUUGUGUCAUACAGCCAUUCUGAUUACACAAAAUUGCUGUAGAAAUCUAGUCAUUAAAGUUUAAUUAGCAUUAACAGCUGUAUAAUACAAUUUCACCACGCACAUUCUUUCUAUGUGUCUAUCCAUAUGUCUCCAAGUGUUCUGUGAGUACAACAUUUUCAUUAAAGGGCAAUG
Molecule: long non-coding RNA, 713 nt
Organism: Lates calcarifer (barramundi perch)
Lineage: Eukaryota; Metazoa; Chordata; Actinopteri; Centropomidae
Exons: 3
Source: RefSeq, a predicted model, not a curated record